AGUGAACGCUGGCGGUAGGCCUAACACAUGCAAGUCGAACGGCAGCACAGUAAGAGCUUGCUCUUACGGGUGGCGAGUGGCGGACGGGUGAGGAAUACAUCGGAAUCUACUUUUUCGUGGGGGAUAACGUAGGGAAACUUACGCUAAUACCGCAUACGACCUACGGGUGAAAGCAGGGGAUCUUCGGACCUUGCGCGAUUGAAUGAGCCGAUGUCGGAUUAGCUAGUUGGCGGGGUAAAGGCCCACCAAGGCGACGAUCCGUAGCUGGCCUGAGAGGAUGAUCAGCCACACUGGAACUGAGACACGGUCCAGACUCCCACGGGAGGCAGCAGUGGGGAAUAUUGGACAAUGGGCGCAAGCCUGGUCCAGCCAUACCGCGUGGGUGAAGAAGGCCUUCGGGUUGUAAAGCCCUUUUGUUGGGAAAGAAAAGCAGCAGGUUAAUACCCCGCUGUUCUGACGGUACCCAAAGAAUAAGCACCGGCUAACUUCGUG
RNAcentral lists this ribosomal RNA (492 nucleotides) under uncultured bacterium. RNAcentral's name for it is "partial 16S ribosomal RNA". It matches the Rfam family "Bacterial small subunit ribosomal RNA", at positions 29 to 507 of the family's 1533-position model. The record is from RNAcentral.